Molecule: small RNA, 134 nt
Filed under: Salmonella enterica subsp. enterica serovar Infantis
Lineage: Bacteria; Pseudomonadati; Pseudomonadota; Gammaproteobacteria; Enterobacterales; Enterobacteriaceae
Also listed under: 137 other names
Description: RtT RNA
Rfam family: RtT RNA
About the family: This family represents a bacterial cis-regulatory element known as RtT RNA. The exact function of RtT is unknown although it is thought that it may be involved in changing the cellular response in relation to amino acid starvation.
Source: RNAcentral
UGUAUCUGAAGUCUGACGAGGAUGAGAACCUCCGGGGGCAAGAGGUUCGACCCGAGCGAAGCGAGAGAACGUUGCGUCAGCAACGGCCCGCAGGGCGAGCCACGCAGUGGCGAGUCAUCCUCUAUCACCGACCA